AAAUUGAAGAGUUUGAUCAUGGCUCAGAUUGAACGCUGGCGGCAGGCCUAACACAUGCAAGUCGAACGGUAACAGGAAUCAGCUUGCUGAUUCGCUGACGAGUGGCGGACGGGUGAGUAAUGUCUGGGAAACUGCCCGAUGGAGGGGGAUAACUACUGGAAACGGUAGCUAAUACCGCAUAACGUCGCAAGACCAAAGAGGGGGACCUUCGGGCCUCUUGCCAUCGGAUGUGCCCAGAUGGGAUUAGCUAGUAGGUGGGGUAACGGCUCACCUAGGCGACGAUCCCUAGCUGGUCUGAGAGGAUGACCAGCCACACUGGAACUGAGACACGGUCCAGACUCCUACGGGAGGCAGCAGUGGGGAAUAUUGCACAAUGGGCGCAAGCCUGAUGCAGCCAUGCCGCGUGUAUGAAGAAGGCCUUCGGGUUGUAAAGUACUUUCAGCGGGGAGGAAGGGAGUAAAGUUAAUACCUUUGCUCAUUGACGUUACCCGCAGAAGAAGCACCGGCUAACUCCGUGCCAGCAGCCGCGGUAAUACGGAGGGUGCAAGCGUUAAUCGGAAUUACUGGGCGUAAAGCGCACGCAGGCGGUCUGUUAAGUCAGAUGUGAAAUCCCCGGGCUCAACCUGGGAACUGCAUCUGAUACUGGCAGGCUUGAGUCUCGUAGAGGGGGGUAGAAUUCCAGGUGUAGCGGUGAAAUGCGUAGAGAUCUGGAGGAAUACCGGUGGCGAAGGCGGCCCCCUGGACGAAGACUGACGCUCAGGUGCGAAAGCGUGGGGAGCAAACAGGAUUAGAUACCCUGGUAGUCCACGCCGUAAACGAUGUCGACUUGGAGGUUGUGCCCUUGAGGCGUGGCUUCCGGAGCUAACGCGUUAAGUCGACCGCCUGGGGAGUACGGCCGCAAGGUUAAAACUCAAAUGAAUUGACGGGGGCCCGCACAAGCGGUGGAGCAUGUGGUUUAAUUCGAUGCAACGCGAAGAACCUUACCUGGUCUUGACAUCCACAGAACUUUCCAGAGAUGGAUUGGUGCCUUCGGGAACUGUGAGACAGGUGCUGCAUGGCUGUCGUCAGCUCGUGUUGUGAAAUGUUGGGUUAAGUCCCGCAACGAGCGCAACCCUUAUCCUUUGUUGCCAGCGGUCCGGCCGGGAACUCAAAGGAGACUGCCAGUGAUAAACUGGAGGAAGGUGGGGAUGACGUCAAGUCAUCAUGGCCCUUACGACCAGGGCUACACACGUGCUACAAUGGCGCAUACAAAGAGAAGCGACCUCGCGAGAGCAAGCGGACCUCAUAAAGUGCGUCGUAGUCCGGAUUGGAGUCUGCAACUCGACUCCAUGAAGUCGGAAUCGCUAGUAAUCGUGGAUCAGAAUGCCACGGUGAAUACGUUCCCGGGCCUUGUACACACCGCCCGUCACACCAUGGGAGUGGGUUGCAAAAGAAGUAGGUAGCUUAACCUUCGGGAGGGCGCUUACCACUUUGUGAUUCAUGACUGGGGUGAAGUCGUAACAAGGUAACCGUAGGGGAACCUGCGGUUGGAUCACCUCCUUACCUUAAAGAAGC
RNAcentral lists this ribosomal RNA (1554 nucleotides) under Escherichia sp. 93.0743. RNAcentral's name for it is "bacterial SSU rRNA". It matches the Rfam family "Bacterial small subunit ribosomal RNA". Lineage: Bacteria; Pseudomonadati; Pseudomonadota; Gammaproteobacteria; Enterobacterales; Enterobacteriaceae. The record is from RNAcentral.